GUCAGAUGAACNCUAGCUACAGGCUUAACACAUGCAAGUCGAGGGGCAGCAUCAUCAAAGCUUGCUUUGAUGGAUGGCGACCGGCGCACGGGUGAGUAACACGUAUCCAACCUGCCGACAACACUGGGAUAGCCUUUCGAAAGAAAGAUUAAUACCGGAUGGCAUAGUCUUCCCGCAUGGGAUGAUUAUUAAAGAAUUUCGGUUGUCGAUGGGGAUGCGUUCCAUUAGGCAGUUGGCGGGGUAACGGCCCACCAAACCNACGAUGGAUAGGGGUUCUGAGAGGAAGGUCCCCCACAUUGGAACUGAGACACGGUCCAAACUCCUACGGGAGGCAGCAGUGAGGAAUAUUGGUCAAUGGACGAGAGUCUGAACCAGCCAAGUAGCGUGAAGGAUGACUGCCCUAUGGGUUGUAAACUUCUUUUAUACGGGAAUAAAGUUAGCCACGUGUGGCUUUUUGUAUGUACCGUAUGAAUAAGGAUCGGCUAACUCCGUGCCAGCAGCCGCGGUAAUACGGAGGAUCCGAGCGUUAUCCGGAUUUAUUGGGUUUAAAGGGAGCGUAGGCGGGUUGUUAAGUCAGUUGUGAAAGUUUGCGGCUCAACCGUAAAAUUGCAGUUGAUACUGGCGACCUUGAGUGCAACAGAGGUAGGCGGAAUUCGUGGUGUAGCGGUGAAAUGCUUAGAUAUCACGAAGAACUCCGAUUGCGAAGGCAGCUUACUGGAUUGUAACUGACGCUGAUGCUCGAAGUGUGGGUAUCAAACAGGAU
Molecule: ribosomal RNA, 763 nt
Filed under: Bacteroides stercoris
Lineage: Bacteria; Pseudomonadati; Bacteroidota; Bacteroidia; Bacteroidales; Bacteroidaceae
Description: bacterial SSU rRNA
Rfam family: Bacterial small subunit ribosomal RNA
Source: RNAcentral